AACCUAACCGCUACCGUCCGCAA
This 23-nucleotide small nuclear RNA is filed under the name Arabidopsis thaliana (thale cress). RNAcentral's name for it is "snRNA_15974". Lineage: Eukaryota; Viridiplantae; Streptophyta; Magnoliopsida; Brassicales; Brassicaceae. The record is from RNAcentral.